CGGCCGUGCAAGUCCGUCGGGAAAUCCAUCGGCUUAACCGAUGGGCGUCCGGCGGAAACUGCGCGGCUUGGGGCCGGAGGACCUGAGGGGUACGUCCGGGGUAGGAGUGAAAUCCCGUAAUCCCGGGCGGACCGCCGGUGGCGAAAGCGCCUCAGGAGGACGGACCCGACGGUCAGGGACGAAAGCUAGGGUCUCGAACCGGAUUAGAUACCCGGGUAGUCCUAGCCGUAAACGAUGCCCGCUAGGUGUGGCACCGACUACGAGUCGGUGCUGUGCCGUAGUGAAGACGUGAAGCGGGCCGCCUGGGAA
This 309-nucleotide ribosomal RNA is filed under the name uncultured archaeon. RNAcentral describes it as "bacterial SSU rRNA". It matches the Rfam family "Archaeal small subunit ribosomal RNA", at positions 526 to 834 of the family's 1478-position model. The record is from RNAcentral.